Molecule: ribosomal RNA, 300 nt
Filed under: uncultured Eubacterium sp.
Lineage: Bacteria; Bacillati; Bacillota; Clostridia; Eubacteriales; Eubacteriaceae
Description: bacterial SSU rRNA
Rfam family: Bacterial small subunit ribosomal RNA
Source: RNAcentral
GCUACAGAAGUGGCAGCAGAGGUGUAAAUACGGCAGAUGAUAUUGUUAUCGUGAAGCAUGGGGUUUAAAGGUUCCCUAGGGGGCCAUAAACUUCAUCGGUGAAAGUUUUGGACUUAACCAAAAAUGUGCAAGUGAUACUGUAGGGCUGUACUAUUGGUGAAGUAAUUGGAAUAGGUAGUUUAGCUGUGAAAUGCUUAGAUAUUACAUGGAAUACCAAUUGCGAAGGCAGGUUACUAACAAAUGAUUGACGCUGAUGGACGAUAUCGUGGGUAGCGAACAGGAUUAGAUACCCGAGUAUUC